Molecule: long non-coding RNA, 1744 nt
Organism: Quercus lobata
Lineage: Eukaryota; Viridiplantae; Streptophyta; Magnoliopsida; Fagales; Fagaceae
Exons: 3
Source: RefSeq, a predicted model, not a curated record
AUAAAUAUUUUAGAUAGUAAAAUACAGUACAUGACGUGGUAAAUAUGUUAGUAUAUAUAAAUUGUUGUUUUAAAUAUAACGGUACACGUCAAACGGCACUCUUCAUUCGUUAAUCUCUCUGUAACCUGUAGACUCUGUAAUUCUCAAGGAGAAGUUGAGUUCGAAGGCGCUUCUUUUCGAAUCUUUUUGUGUCUCUCAGGCAACAGCAGAGGAUUUGGCAAGGAAUAGAGGACAAGUUCUCUCUAUUUAUCGCUAGAUAUUGCGGAGCAUCAACUCCCCAAAGCUGCCACUCGCUUUUGAAGCAAGAUUGGCUAAGAAAGCAGAGGUUCGUGCUAUCUUCAUGUUGGCUUCUGAAGAGACAUCCCUACAUAACAUUGAUGACCUAAUUGACACUACUGAGUACUCUCUUUCCCUUCUAAGAAAAGGUGAAAUUCUCAAAUACAUACAAUGAGGUAAACUGGUUUGUUGGAGUAAAUCAUAUCUUGAGGGGUCAAGGUAUGGUAGAGCAAGACUUGCAUCUUAUGGUGUGAAGACAAUACUGGGGGGCUGAUUUGUAUUCAAUGUCAAAGACUGCGUUUUCUUCAUAAGAUGCGCUGCAAAGAAUUUGUAUCUAUGAAAAAAAUUGGGAUAUUGUUAUUAAUAAACCUGAUUAUGGAAAGGUUUCUGAAAGUUGCGCUUGAACUCUUGAAGCAAUUUUUGAUCGUGAUAAUGAAGUUGGAAUCAAGUUUUAUCAAAUUUCUGUUAAAUCAGGCUACCAUUUGACGCAACAAAUUUCCAGAGUUAGUGACAGGACGGAAUGAUCUACCGGGGUGUUUGGGAGCCGCAUCUGGUCAAAGAUUUGGAGGCUCCAUUUACCCAAAAAAAAAAGGUCAAAGUCUUUAUGUGGUGGGCAUGUAAGAAUAUUUUGCCAACCCAUGUGAAUUCAAUAACGCAAAGAGUAAUUUCAGAGGACACCUGUGAAGCAUGUAAACAAUUCCUUAGAAAACUCUUCAUCUUCUUUGGGAAUGCGGUGUUGCAUGGAGUGUAUGGGCUGGCUGCUCUGUUCAGCUGCAGAAAUGUGUUCAAGGUCAGGAGGAUAUGAUUCACCUUAUGGGUGAGAUGUUGGAUCGACUAGCAGUGGAUGAAUUUGAGCUUUUUCUGGUGCAAGUAUGGUUAUUUGGCGUCAAAGAAAUGUGGUGGUUUAUGGUGGGCAGCUCCAAGAGCUCAGUGCUUUGAAUCACUUUGCUAGGGACAUCUUAGAGGAGUAUCGACAGACCAAAUGCAAAUGUUGAUUGCAAAUCCUACAGUAUCUGUUGAGGUACGGUGUCCACCUCCAUCCUCUUGGUUCAAGCUCAAUUUUGAUGCUGCAUUGUUUGCCGAUCUUGAUGAGAUUGGGAUGAGAGCAAUAGUUCGGAAUGAAAAAGGGGAGGUGAUGGCAGUUAUAUCCAAUAGAGGCCCUUCUGUAGUUGAUAGCGAGGAAGCGGAAAUCAUGGGUUGAGAGAGAGCUUUGGAAUUUGCAAUUGAUGCAGGUUUCACAGAGCUGUCCAUUGGGUCAUAUUCUGCACUAUAUACAAUGCUUGUUUUAGGGACUUGGAUGGUACAUGGUUGGCUUUGUUAGGCCUAGUGCAAACUCAGUGGCCAAUUCAGUGGACUUGGAUGAAUUGACUUGGUUAGAGGAUUCUCCUCCACCAGCCAUGGAAGCUUUAGUAAUUUGAUUGUACUCAUAUUCAGCAAUAAAUGACAAAUGAGUUUGGCUUCAAAAAAA